UAGAAAUUUUGAUCGACACAAAUAUGGUAACGACACUUACUUUUGGAACAGAGGGAGAAAUCUCAUAUAUCUCGAUGGGACAACUAUGCAGUCAUAUGGACAUGAUGUAAACCAAUUACUGUACUCCGUCGAGAAACAAUAUGCACUUCUCGAUUUUUCAAAAGUCAACAAAAUUCAAGUUUGAGUGAGUUUAUAGAAAACAGUAUCAAUGUUCAUAUUUUUAAAUAGAUUUACUUUGCAAAUAUAUUUUAUGAUACUUGGUAUUAUAAAUAUUAGUAUUUUUAUAUAGAUUUGGUCAAACUUAAAAUUAUAUGACAUUUUUAAAAACGUUGAGCCGAGAGAGUAUCUCCGACUGGCAUAUAUGUACCUCAGAACAGACGUUUACAAGAGCAGAAAGGCAGUGUCAUGUGUGGAACAAGACGUGUACAAGAGCAGAAAAAGGCAGUGCCAUGUGUGAAUGUCCGCUCAUAUACUAACCGGGGUGAUAUAGAACAAGGGAAACUCACAUGCACGCUGUAGCAACAGGAAGCAUUAGGACAAGGUUGACAGAGAAGACGCACAAAAGCCUUUCCCAAACAUCCACACACAUUCUUUCUGGAAACUACGAUAUCCCCCCCUUUCCCACUAGUACAUCAGAAGCAUCCAACCAAAGGGACAUGUUGCACCAGUACAUGCAUACAUGGGUCAUCUCAAAAAAAAAAAAAAGGAAAACCCAUGCAUGCAUCUAGCAUAUCCGUAUCCUACUCUGAAAAAACAACCACAAGCACUGCUACAGAAAUCUAGCAAUACUGCAUAAAGUGAUUCAGUAUUGGAAUUGUUUUCUCGGUCAAUUCCAGUUCAAUCUACCGCCACCUUGAUAAAUUGGUUCAAACAGAGCCACCCUAGAAAUGCAUUCGUAGAGAAUGGCCGUUCAGCCGUCUCUACAAAUCCUCUCUAUUUUUAUAGAUGACUCUUCAAGCUGCAGCUGUCUCCAAAAAUAAAUUUCUAGAGAUAACUAGAUCUAAAGCCGUCUCUAAGAUGAUUUGUAGACGUGGCUACAUCUAAAGGCUUCUUAAAAAAGCCACAGCACGGUAAAAGAUUUUUAAAAUAGCCUCGGAUAGAUAAGUAAUCUAAAGUAAAUUUGUAGAUCUCGAGAAGCUAUAUAACUUUAUAGUUGAUAAAUUUUUUAUUUAAAAUAAU
This 1179-nucleotide long non-coding RNA is filed under the name Sorghum bicolor (sorghum). Its description in RNAcentral is "long non-coding RNA (SBIC_LNC012984)". The record is from RNAcentral. Lineage: Eukaryota; Viridiplantae; Streptophyta; Magnoliopsida; Poales; Poaceae.